This 3936-nucleotide long non-coding RNA is filed under the name Capsicum annuum. RNAcentral describes it as "long non-coding RNA (CANN_LNC001677)". The record is from RNAcentral. Lineage: Eukaryota; Viridiplantae; Streptophyta; Magnoliopsida; Solanales; Solanaceae.
UGGGUAUGUCAAUGAAUUGUACAUACAACUAACUGAAGAGUAGUGGUAUAGCGGUUAAAUGUUGAAUUCUUCUAACUGAAUUUUCCAUUAGAUUAUCCUUCUUCUGGUCGUUUGGUUGAUCUGGUAUACGUACUGCGAAAUUUGUGUGCUCCCCGCUUCUUCUCUCUGUGAAAAGAAUUUUAAACGGUUAUUCCAUAGUCAGUUUUGCUGUGUUUUCUGCCCCUGUAAUCUGUUGCUAUGUCUUAAAAUUCCGUAACUACGUACAUAUGUCGAAUCGGUUAGAGAAUAGACAAGCUAUAAGAUGAAGGCUUUUACCUUGGGUGCUCCAAAUUUUUUAGAUUGAUCAACUAUUGUUUGCUUUUACUUUGGUUGUUUCAGGUAAAUCCAUCUGUUGCAGUGACUCUGUAAUUUGGGAAUUAAAUCAGCAAAGAGGUACUAACUGUUGCUAUCCUAUUUACCUUUUUUCUUGAUUGUUGGUCAAUCACUUUUCUGUCGUUUUGUUUCUGCUUUUGGAUCAAUUUGUUGACAAAUUGAUUAAUCCGUCCUUUCUAAUUUGUUCGCUCUCUUUUGGAUGGACGACCAAUUUAUGACAUGUUACCUUUCAUUUCGCUUAACUACAUUGUUUAAAAAGAAGAAGGUUGUAUGGAUCAACAAGGUUCGUUUGAAAGCUAUGAAUUUUUGUUCGGUAUAUACUAUUCUUUUUCAAACUAAAGUUAUAUGUACAGAUAUCUGAAGUAGUGAAGUUCUUUGUAUAGAUUGAGUGGGUUGGUUCAAAAGCUUCGAAUUUUCGUUCGGCAUAUGUUUCUCUUAUUCAAACUGACAUUAUCUGUACAGAUUUCUAAAAUAUUGGUACAACUUGAUACAUUUUCUGACAAAGGAAUCAGGAGACUAGAUUUUCCAGCCAGCUGUAACAUUUUCGGCUGCUGGCUUGCAACACCCACUGCUCUUUCAUCCUGUACCAGCAACUUUUAUCAGUUUUUCUCUCUCUUAUUAUGUAUGUUGAUACCUAAUUCAGCUUCUAUUUUGACAAUGCAACAGCGGAUACCAUAAUGGAUCAGAGACUUCUUGUGGACUCCAUCACAAAAGAAACUACAGACUGGACCUGCAAGGUUCAGGUAAUUGACAAGUUUCAUCCUCGCAAGAGUAGAGACUCAUCUGUCCAUUUCCAAAUAAUACUCGUGUAAGAUGAAAGAGUAAGUUUCUCUCCUUAUCCAUACCCUAAAUACUCAAGCUGGCAUUCUAAACGUUAGCUACAACAAUGCUUUAGAAUCCGUAAAAUAUUUGUUAUGAAAAAAAGAAUUUCCACCUCAGGGAAAGACGGAUUGAAAAGUUUACUAAUUUCAUCUAUAAUUGUAACAGCAUAUUUGAAGUUGCUUCUAUUGCACUUAACUACAGGAACAACAGGUUUCCAUAGUGAUAUACGAUGAAGACAUUCCCAGAUACGACAACUUGUUCCUUCUUUUCCACACAUAUCUUGUUUCUUGUGCGAAAGUUAGGGAUCCUCGUAGUUACUCGAUACGAGCUGGUACAUACGGAUGGGUAGCUGACAAAUACACAAUUGUUGAACCAAUUAUUGACAAUGAUGGAUUGGAAGCACCACUGCCUGCUCCAGAAAAGUUAAGCACACUUCUUUUCUCAGCGAUUGAGCAACAACACCCAGGUGUUGAAUUUGGUAAGCUCCCAAUUUACAUCUUCUCCGUUUUCCCGCAUCAACUAAAUAGCCCGUAGUAAUCAAGCUAUUACUCAACAUGUUACUUUCAAUUACACCAGAUUUACUGGCAGUAGUAGUUAACUGCAGCGCCCUGCAAUACACAGCUGACCAGAGCAAACACUUUCGGGAAGCGAUUGUGAUUGAUCAAAGGUAAGUUAGUCUUUCCCUUUUAUGAAGUUCACCAAACCUUCUGUCUGAUUGCUAAAAUAUGCUUUCAUUAUAAUAAUUCCUGUGAUUGGUUUACCCACCAGCAAGACACCUUUUCUAUUUACCAUAUGGGAUGACCUAGCUGACAAUGAGGGAACAACCUUGUUGGAUCACCUACACGAGCAUCCAGUGAUUCUUGCCAAGCAUAUAGGCGUCACUGAAUUCCGUGGUGGCAUAUUAUUUACAAUAUUCUAUGCAUUCUUUCAUUUUAUUUCUUCUUUCUGAGUGGUCAACUAAAAAAACUUUCCGCCUUUCACAUACACAGCUCUGAGAUUGGCAACAAGAUAUCAAACAACAAUUUUACCAAAUCCUCAAGGCAAUUACCCUGAUGAACUGGUAUACAUUAACUUACUCCCCCUUAACAAAGAUGUAUGAAAAUAUUUGCCCUAUUUCAAUUUAACAUUUUCCAGGGUGAAGCAGAACGCACAAAUGUUGUCAUCUACUUCUCAUCAUCAACCUCCUCACUCAAUCUUGCACCUAUUGAAGAUCAAGUACAAUCUGUAUCCACCAUUCCAGAAUCGCUGUCUACGGUUAGUUUAUUCCACAGUAUGUAUAUGUAUGUACUAACUAUUUUCGUAUCCAAACUGAAAUGACCAACCUUAGUUACACAGCAGAGACACAACCAAAAGUGUUAACUCCAUCAUAAUGUAUGCGUUGUUGCUCAACAAUAUAACGUAACUAACUUGACUCAGAUCCCUUCCUACAAUGAGAAAUCUUUCUGCGGUUUCCAUUAAUUAACUUCGUACAAAAAGGUUAAUUUGUACUUUCUUAGGCCACCUUAAAAGAUUGCAUAACUGAACAUAUAAACACUUCAGAAUUGUAAUCUAGAGUUUAUUACAGCUGCUUUCAAUAAGUUUUUGAUAGUCCCGUACACCUAUGUUGCAGGUACAGACAGUUCAUGUAGAAGGCAGAAUAUCGCUUCCCGAUCAUUCUCAAUCAUUUUACUUGCUUGGCUGUUCACACUGUAAUCAAGAUGUACGUCCUAAAACAAAAAAAAAUGGUCCACUGCUUCUACUGUAUACUACAUCGGCCAUUGGUCCCCAGGUAACUAUAAACUUUACUACAUCGCAAUUUCUUAAAAUUGAGCUCACUCGCUGCCGAAGAAUACAUACAUUUAGGGAAUUGUUUGAAAUCACAUGAAACUUUAAUGUUGCAGCUUUAUCUCUUUCCUUUCAGGUGCCACUUCAACAUUGACAUCACAGAUUUCAGCGGGACAAUUACAACAACAAUGUCAGAAGCGUUAGCAGAAAGAAUACUGUCCCUAACUGCCAACCAAAUAUAUGAUAAAGUUGCUGUCCAGGUAUAAAAAUACAUACUAUUACCUACUGCGAAACUUCUCUUGCAAUUUUAUUUUACCACUAACUCCUAUUUAACGUACUAUCUUUUACCUUUUCCACUUAGAAACAACCACUGUCUAUUGCCGGUAUAAAUCGCCAAGAUCGUAAACUGUUUAAACUUCAAUUACAAAAGUCAGCUUUCAGAUUUCCAGACCAAAAAGCAGAUGCGCUAGCAGUUGCGUCAUUCACUGAAACAGAACAAACAGGUAAGAGGCAGAAAAUUGAACCAUCCGUACCCACGAAAAAAGAUUGAAGGUAACAGUACUUUGAUAUUUCAUCUGCAUUCUCUAUUCUCAUUUUCCGAUGGUUCUUCACACUUCAAUUAUACUGGAAAAACUGGAUUACUAUAAUUUAAUUUUGAGCUUUUGGAUGCGAUUUCCCUUUUGUGAUGAUUAAAGAGAAAUUUUAUUUUUAUUUUUCAAUUUGAAGUAAAUAGUGUUGUGUAAUUGGAAUUGUAUGUGCUAGCCCUAAUUUUCCUGUGUACUACAGUUACAAUAGAGAUAAGGUGUGUAUGGAUCCUCUUACGUUAUGCGUACCUGACUAGACAAAUUAAAAGGUGUAUGUUUUACUUCGUCAUCUGACUUUAUACGAUUAUGUUCCUUCUCAUCACCUCCACAAAUAAAUAACAUGUUCAUCCCAUUCACUUUUUUGGUAUGUCAUAUGCCUGUAGCUAUUCACGGA